Molecule: RNA transcript, 2758 nt
Organism: Gadus morhua (Atlantic cod)
Lineage: Eukaryota; Metazoa; Chordata; Actinopteri; Gadiformes; Gadidae
Gene: rnf103
Gene name: ring finger protein 103
Exons: 9
Source: RefSeq, a predicted model, not a curated record
AUCUCGUCAGGUUGUUUUGGUCACCAGCUGAUCGGCCUCUGAGUCGACAGCCUCCUCGUCGUGGACUCGUCGUCCCUGAUGCUUUUACUCUAGUAUUUUUCAGACGGCAGCGGAAUAAAAAGAAACCAGUAUCGAAACUCUCCUUGGGCCGCAGGGCGUUUUAUAUCCAAAUCAGGCCCCAAGGACUCCGUCUAGAAGCUAUCCGCUAACCAUCGCUGUCUCCUAUGAGAAGGCUGGAGAAGUAAUCUGGGCUAUUUUUCGACAACAGAAACCUUUAUUUAGUAAUCGUAUUUCCUGUCGUCGCAGGGAACAGUGCUAUUAAUAUUAUUAUUAAUAUAAGAACCCUUCAGUCAUUUGGCGAUAACAGACAUCACAUCGUUCUCUAACAGUUCUCCCUGGUCCCCGACUCAAGGAGAAGAUGUGGUUGAAACUGUUCUUCAUCCUGGUUUAUUUCCUGGUGUUAUUCAUGCUGGCCCGUUUGUUUGAGACAGUUCUUUGGUAUGAGACCGGUCUGUUCGCCACUCAGUUGGUUGAUCCAGUGACUCUUAGUUACAGAAGGUUGAAAACGAUCUUGGAGUGCAGAGGUUUGGGAUAUUCUGGAUUACCAGAAAAGAAAGAUGUGAGCGACUUGGUGGAGAAGUCAGGAGAGUUGAUGCAAGGGGAGCUGUACUCAGCCAUCAGGAGAGAGGAGGAGCAGACGAACGUGGGAGAGCCAGGAAGCACCUCCUUCAGUGGGGAAAUGCACUUCUACGAACUAGUGGAGGACACAAAGGACGGCAUAUGGCUGAUACAGUUGUUGAACGCUCGCAGAGUGAUGCUAACGUUAACGUUAGCCAGUCUGAGCCUGCUGCUGCUGCUGCUGCGGCUGCUGCUGCUACGUUAACCGGCCCGAGACCCAAGCCAGCAAAGAUACAACAAACUCCUUUCAGCAUGGCAGCAAGGGGAAAGCUGUCAGCGGAGCAAAUUGCUGAGUGCCACAGAAAAGUAACGGCGUAUGUGGUAAAAAGGCUGCAUCCCUUUAGCGACAUCGAGUCGCCCACAUUUAGGGAUAUGAUCCAUUCAAUAAACCCGAAGUACACCCCCCCUACAAGGGAGUGUUUAACUAAUAGAUUGAUCCCGGCAUGGUACCAGAUAGAAAAAUCUAAUCUGAUCUCAGAGCUGAGUGAGGUCAGUCACAUAGCUCUCACUUGUGAUGGCUGGACUAGCCACCCCAAGACCACUACCUAGCUGUCACAGUGCACUAUUUAGUGGAAAGCAACAUGAGGCAGAAAGUUCUCGCAACAAAAGCUGUGUACAGAGCCCAGACAGGAAUUGUCGUGGCAGAGGAAAUCGGCGACAUCCUGAAAGAAUUUGGCGUGUUUGAUAAAGUAGUAGCCGUUACUGUGGAUAAUGCUGCCAAUAUGGACGUAGCCAUCAAACGGCUGCAGUUUGUGAAGCUCGGCUGCUUCGCUCAUUCACUAAACCUAGCAGCACAAAGUCUGUACUCCAGCAGCUCAGUGGACUGCAAAGAUUCGUGCCAUCAUCGUCUGGAUGAAGAGGUCGUCCAUGGCGAAGGUGGUUCUACGGGAAAAGCAGGAUGUCCUAAACCUCCCUCAACAUUCACUGAUUCUCGAUGUGAGAACAAGGUGGAAUUCUCUCUAGCUAAUGAUGGAGAGAUUCCUUGAACAAUACCCUGCAAUACAAGCAGCCAGCUUGGACCAACGCCUGAGAAAGAAUAUGGAGAGGGACAGGCUUGAUCGGCUGACAGAUGGUGAUUUCACCAAGGCAGAAGACUUCAUCAGGCUGAUGCAGGUUCUGUACACCUGCACGCUCUGUGUUUCCACUGAAAAAAGCCCAACAGCCGGACAGAUCCUGCCGAUCAUCCAAAAGCUGGAGAAACACUUCGCUGCUGUAAAUGGAGACACAGCAUUUGUAGCUGACUUGAAGAAAAGGGUCUGGGGAAACAUGUCUACCCGGUACAAGAAUGAGGACAUCAGGUUCUUCUUGGAAGAAGCCACUGCCUUAGAUCCCCGCUUCAAGAAUAAGAUGGACAACGACACCGCAGUCUGAGAACGGAUCAAGGGGAAGUUGCUGGCAAACUCUGAAGAGUCGGUGGCAGUCAAUCAUGACCAUUCAGAAGAGGUUGGUGUGAUGCAGGGCGAGGGAAACCAGGAAGGUGUGAAGACUGAGAGUGAGGAGGAAGAGGAGAAUCAGCCUCCUCCUUCCAAACAAUCGAAAAAGUCUCCACUGGAGGAGCUUUUUGCUGAGGAGGAUGCCAUGAAGAGGACCUCACAAGAGGGGUUGAUAUCCAUGGAAAGUCGUGCUGAAAGGGAGAUCCAGACGUACCUGGAAACGCCACCAAUCAUCACAUCGUCUGACCCUGCAGCCUGGUUCUGGACCCAGACACAAACUUAUCCUUUACUGUCAUGUCUGGCCUUCUCAUAUUUAUGUGUCCAGGCCUCCUCAACACCUAGUGAACGGGUGUUUUCUACUGCAGGGAACACAAUCUGUGCGGAACGGUCGCGCUUACUGCCUGAGAAGGCAGACAUGAUAAUCUUCCUAAACAAGAACUGUUGUUAAUGAUUUGUCACAACUGCGCCAGGGUUUGAGUUUGUUUUAUUUUGUUACAUAUACAUCCACCUGGGCUGCAGCUCUUUGCUUUUUAGACUGCUGCCAACUUGUGUCACUUCAGCAGAAUUCAGUUAUAGUUACAGUUAGGGACCCUCGGUAAUGUGAAUAAAUAUAAUGGCCUGUGUAAAGGCUUUUUCAAAUGAAAAAA